Molecule: ribosomal RNA, 496 nt
Filed under: uncultured bacterium
Lineage: Bacteria
Description: partial 16S ribosomal RNA
Rfam family: Bacterial small subunit ribosomal RNA
Source: RNAcentral
AUGAACGCUGGCGGCGUGCCUAAUACCUGCAAGUCGAGCGAACAGACGAGGAGCUUGCUCCUCUGACGUUAGCGGCGGACGGGUGAGUAACACGUGGAUAACCUACCUAUAAGACUGGGAUAACUUCGGGAAACCGGAGCUAAUACCGGAUAAUAUAUUGAACCGCAUGGUUCAAUAGUGAAAGACGGUUUUGCUGUCACUUAUAGAUGGAUCCGCGCCGCAUUAGCUAGUUGGUAAGGUAACGGCUUACCAAGGCAACGAUGCGUAGCCGACCUGAGAGGGUGAUUGGCCACACUGGAACUGAGACACGGUCCAGACUCCUACGGGAGGCAGCAGUAGGGAAUCUUCCGCAAUGGGCGAAAGCCUGACGGAGCAACGCCGCGUGAGUGAUGAAGGUCUUCGGAUCGUAAAACUCUGUUAUUAGGGAAGAACAAAUGUGUAAGUAACUAUGCACGUCUUGACGGUACCUAAUCAGAAAGCCACGGCUAACUACGUG